Long non-coding RNA from Tupaia belangeri chinensis (Chinese tree shrew), 939 nucleotides. RefSeq lists it as uncharacterized. The record is from RefSeq and is a predicted model, not a curated record. The transcript has 5 exons. Lineage: Eukaryota; Metazoa; Chordata; Mammalia; Scandentia; Tupaiidae.
GCCAUGGCCACCAUUCUUGUCUCCGGGACAACCUGCUGGCAGCUGGGUGGCGUCUCCAUCUCUGGCUCAGAGGCCGAGCAGCAGGAAGGGGAGAGGCAAGCGGGCACGCUGGAGCCCAUGGCCAUGAACUUUCAAGAAAAUGUGACCUUGGCCAUGGCUGUCUUCACCAUCCUCGCCUCCAUCUACUUCUUCAACAAGGCUCAACAGUGACAAGACCAACAACUGCCCACCCAGCAGCCCUGCCUCUCCCCGACCAUGGCUCUGGCCUCUGAGCCCAAAUAAAUGUAACUGGAUCAGCACGCCCUGCUCCCUGGCUCCGCUGCCUGGGCACGAGGCACCGCCGGCUCCGGGGCUCAGGGUCUGGACCUGAGGAGGUGCCGAGGGGCGUGGGCACCCCGACUCCUGGGUCUGAGGGAGAGUGAUGAGAGCACACAUUCUCAGCAAACUCCUCUUCGACCUUCAACACCCACUGACAGCCCCCCUUCCUGUAGAAGUGACCAGACCCAGAUAUGCAGUCCAGUGGCAGCCCCUCACUUACUGCUCCUCCCUGUUCCCUGCACCCCCCUGCACUCCCCGGCCAGUGCCCUGGGGCCUUCGGCCUUUGGCUGGGCUCCAUCUACCACGUCUGCCUCAGAGCCCCUCGAGGUGUCUACUCAGUGGCUCCCCCUUCCUGCUGGGGCAACAGCAGCUCAGAGAGGGAGAUUCAGAUACUCAAGAUCCCACAGCAAAGCAGAGACCAGAGACGGCCGUGGCCUGGUGGCGUGAGCCGGAUCCCACUCGAAUCCUGGACCCGACAGCUGAAAAAAAUACACUGGGUGUGUGUACCCCAAGUCUCAGCAGGACACAGACAUGAAAGAGAAGGGUUUGAAGUGUGACCGCACCCCAGUAGGAAGGCCUUCCCUUCUGUCUCUCUGUCUCUCUCUGGAAAGUGUACAUGCC